CCUACGGGAGGCAGCAGUGAGGAAUAUUGGUCAAUGGUCGUGAGCCUGAACCAGCCAAGUAGCGUGAAGGAUGACGGCCCUAUGGGUUGUAAACUUCUUUUAUAAAGGGAUAAAGUGAGGCACGUGUGCUGUUUUGUAUGUAUUUCAUGAAUAAGGAUCGGCUAACUCCGUGCCAGCAGCCGCGGUAAUACGGAAGGUCCGGGCGUUAUCCGGAUUUAUUGGGUUUAAAGGGAGCGUAGGCCGCAUGUCAAGCGUGCUGUGAAAUGCCCGGGCUCAACCCGGGCCUUGCAGCGCGAACUGGCGUGCUUGAGUCCGCGGAAAGCAGGCGGAAUUCGUGGUGUAGCGGUGAAAUGCUUAGAUAUGACGAAGAACCCCGAUUGCGAAGGCAGCUUGCGGCAGCGCAACUGACGCUGAUGCUCGAAGGCGCGGGUAUCGAACAGGAUUAGAUACCCCAGUAGUC
This 460-nucleotide ribosomal RNA is filed under the name uncultured bacterium. Its description in RNAcentral is "partial 16S ribosomal RNA". It matches the Rfam family "Bacterial small subunit ribosomal RNA", at positions 338 to 795 of the family's 1533-position model. The record is from RNAcentral.